UCUCCGUUGGUGAACCAGCGGAGGGAUCAUUGCUGGAACGCGCCUCGGCGCACCCAGAAACCCUUUGUGAACUUAUACCUUAUUGUUGCCUCGGCGCAGGCCGGCCCCCUUCUGGGGGCCCCUCGUUUCUGACGAGGAGCAGGCUCGCCGGCGGCCAAGUUAACUCUUGUUUUUAUUGUGAAACUCUGAGAAUAAAACAUAAAUGAAUCAAAACUUUCAACAACGGAUCUCUUGGUUCUG
RNAcentral lists this unclassified non-coding RNA (240 nucleotides) under soil metagenome. RNAcentral's name for it is "partial contains small subunit ribosomal RNA, internal transcribed spacer 1, and 5.8S ribosomal RNA". The record is from RNAcentral.